Molecule: non-coding RNA, 1548 nt
Organism: Notechis scutatus (mainland tiger snake)
Lineage: Eukaryota; Metazoa; Chordata; Lepidosauria; Squamata; Elapidae
Source: RefSeq, a predicted model, not a curated record
UGGAUAUAGCAUUAUUAAGAACUUUUAUGGCAUACAGUCAUAGGUACCUUUCAGAGCACCUACACUUUUCAAUGAUUUUCUUAAAACCAAGAGAAUAUUCAAAUGUAAUUUGGAACUCUGUGCUCAAAGAAUAGAGAAGCAUAUGAAUAAGCAAGUUUUAUUUGAAUGUGUGUGUAUAAUAUAUAUUUUACAGACCCUGCUGUAUAGCACUUAUUUUCAACCAACAAUGUGCUAGGCACUUCACAACUUGAGCACCUUUUUAAAAAAAAGCACAUAAAAGAUUCAACUUUCUGGUAAAAACCCAAUACAUUUCCCUCAUGGGUAUGGCAUACAAUGAAAUACAAUUAUGGUAUAUGAUAAGGCACAUUUUCUGUAUCUCCAGAAAUAAUAGCAGUCCCUUCCAUUGAGGUUUACUUCCCUUUUUUUCUAUGAUGGAGGUAGAAUGUUGGAACCCACCUGUGGUUCUUUUUUCCUUAAGACAUGAUUGAUUUGAUUAUCUUCUUUUCCAACAACAGAAAUUUUUCUUCUCCUCAAUAUAUGGAGGCCAGAUGAAGCAUACCUACCAGCUGCCAUCCUGUAUUUAACCGUAUUUCCAAACCUCAACCCAAUGCAAGUAGAAAGGAUAGUUAAGAUCUCAACAACAUCCUUCAAAAACUGAAUUUAUUCCAAAGCCUGUCUUUCUGUAGUUGGGUUUGAUUGUACCUAUCUGCAGCUCUUCCAGAGGUAUUUUGUGAGUAAAAAGCUCUUGCUUUCUCUGGCAAUUCAAAUUUCUAAAUAAAAUAAUGGGAAAAAGGCGAUUCUUGCUGCUUAGCAGAAAGGCUAGUACCUAUUAAACAGUUUCCCAGCCAGCAUGGGAAUAUUGGGAGUUGAAGUCCACAAAUUUUAAAACCUUAGCAAGUUGCAGGGGUGUCAAACUCGUGGCUCAUGGGCUGGAUGCAUCACGUGCUGGCAAUGUCCACCCCCAUUUUAGCAAAGGGGGGGAAGGCAUGAUACGUAAUGUGAUGACAAUGUGACACCACAAGUUUGACAUCCCUGCACUAUUGUGUUUUUUUAAUUCCCUUCAGACUCCUGAGGAAAGUGGGAAAUACUUUUAUAUUAAAGACAAAGCAAAGUCAUUCGUUAUUAUAUUCCCUUCAAGAUUUAACUUAAAAAAACAAAACAAAACUAUAGCUAAAGGGAAAAAAAAAACCACAAUGUACUUCUUCAUUGACUGGACAGUUCUUAUUUAGUAAACCAUUGGUUUUAACUUUCAUGAAUGUAAAUUCAAAUAUUAUCAGGAAUGUAUAUAAUGCUUUAGUGAGGCACAUGUUCCAUGGUUUACAUGGAGAAUUUAAAUCAAAUGAUGCUAUCUUGUCCUCAAAAAACACUUAAUGCCAAGUCCAUAUUUGCUUUUACUGAGGCUUAAAUAUGUCUUAAAUCAACAGGAUGACAAAGAUCAGGCUCUGUGUUACAUGUUUAUAUGUUAAAAUGCUAUACUCAGGUUACUCACAUUUUAAACCCAAAAUGAAAAAUUUAUUAACAGACAUUGUUGUUCCCUUCCCCUGCCCC